This 473-nucleotide ribosomal RNA is filed under the name uncultured Microbacteriaceae bacterium. RNAcentral's name for it is "bacterial SSU rRNA". It matches the Rfam family "Bacterial small subunit ribosomal RNA", at positions 91 to 578 of the family's 1533-position model. Lineage: Bacteria; Bacillati; Actinomycetota; Actinomycetes; Micrococcales; Microbacteriaceae. The record is from RNAcentral.
AUCAGUGGCGAACGGGUGAGUAACACGUGAGUAACCUGCCCUUGACUCUGGGAUAAGCACUGGAAACGGUGUCUAAUACCGGAUACGACCUUUGAAGGCAUCUUCUAAAGGUGGAAAGAAUUUCGGUCAAGGAUGGACUCGCGGCCUAUCAGCUGGUUGGUGAGGUAACGGCCCACCAAGGCGACGACGGGUAGCCGGCCUGAGAGGGUGACCCGCCACACUGGGACUGAGACACGGCCCAGACUCCUACGGGAGGCAGCAGUGGGGAAUAUUGCACAAUGGGCGCAAGCCUGAUGCAGCAACGCCGCGUGAGGGACGACGGCCUUCGGGUUGUAAACCUCUUUUAGUAGGGAAGAAGCGAAAGUGACGGUACCUGCAGAAAAAGCACCGGCUAACUACGUGCCAGCAGCCGCGGUAAUACGUAGGGUGCAAGCGUUAUCCGGAAUUAUUGGGCGUAAAGAGCUCGUAGGCGG